AUUGAACGCUGGCGGCAGGCCUAACACAUGCAAGUCGAGCGGUAGCACAGAGAGCUUGCUCUCGGGUGACGAGCGGCGGACGGGUGAGUAAUGUCUGGGAAACUGCCUGAUGGAGGGGGAUAACUACUGGAAACGGUAGCUAAUACCGCAUAACGUCGCAAGACCAAAGUGGGGGACCUUCGGGCCUCAUGCCAUCAGAUGUGCCCAGAUGGGAUUAGCUGGUAGGUGGGGUAACGGCUCACCUAGGCGACGAUCCCUAGCUGGUCUGAGAGGAUGACCAGCCACACUGGAACUGAGACACGGUCCAGACUCCUACGGGAGGCAGCAGUGGGGAAUAUUGCACAAUGGGCGCAAGCCUGAUGCAGCCAUGCCGCGUGUGUGAAGAAGGCCUUCGGGUUGUAAAGCACUUUCAGCGGGGAGGAAGGCGGUGAGGUUAAUAACCUCANCGAUUGACGUUACCCGCAGAAGAAGCACCGGCUAACUCCGUGCCAGCAGCCGCGGUAAUACGGAGGGUGCAAGCGUUAAUCGGAAUUACUGGGCGUAAAGCGCACGCAGGCGGUCUGUCAAGUCGGAUGUGAAAUCCCCGGGCUCAACCUGGGAACUGCAUUCGAAACUGGCAGGCUAGAGUCUUGUAGAGGGGGGUAGAAUUCCAGGUGUAGCGGUGAAAUGCGUAGAGAUCUGGAGGAAUACCGGUGGCGAAGGCGGCCCCCUGGACAAAGACUGACGCUCAGGUGCGAAAGCGUGGGGAGCAAACAGGAUUAGAUACCCUGGUAGUCCACGCUGUAAACGAUGUCGAUUUGGAGGUUGUGCCCUUGAGGCGUGGCUUCCGGAGCUAACGCGUUAAAUCGACCGCCUGGGGAGUACGGCCGCAAGGUUAAAACUCAAAUGAAUUGACGGGGGCCCGCACAAGCGGUGGAGCAUGUGGUUUAAUUCGAUGCAACGCGAAGAACCUUACCUGGUCUUGACAUCCACAGAACUUNCCAGAGAUGNNUUGGUGCCUUCGGGAACUGUGAGACAGGUGCUGCAUGGCUGUCGUCAGCUCGUGUUGUGAAAUGUUGGGUUAAGUCCCGCAACGAGCGCAACCCUUAUCCUUUGUUGCCAGCGGUUAGGCCGGGAACUCAAAGGAGACUGCCAGUGAUAAACUGGAGGAAGGUGGGGAUGACGUCAAGUCAUCAUGGCCCUUACGACCAGGGCUACACACGUGCUACAAUGGCAUAUACAAAGAGAAGCGACCUCGCGAGAGCAAGCGGACCUCAUAAAGUAUGUCGUAGUCCGGAUUGGAGUCUGCAACUCGACUCCAUGAAGUCGGAAUCGCUAGUAAUCGUAGAUCAGAAUGCUACGGUGAAUACGUUCCCGGGCCUUGUACACACCGCCCGUCACACCAUGGGAGUGGGUUGCAAAAGAAGUAGGUAGCUUAACCUUCGGGAGGGCGCUUACCACUUUGUGAUUCAUGACUGGGGUGAAG
This 1465-nucleotide ribosomal RNA is filed under the name Klebsiella pneumoniae. Its description in RNAcentral is "16S ribosomal RNA". It matches the Rfam family "Bacterial small subunit ribosomal RNA". Lineage: Bacteria; Pseudomonadati; Pseudomonadota; Gammaproteobacteria; Enterobacterales; Enterobacteriaceae. The record is from RNAcentral.